This 406-nucleotide ribosomal RNA is filed under the name uncultured bacterium. RNAcentral describes it as "partial 16S ribosomal RNA". It matches the Rfam family "Bacterial small subunit ribosomal RNA", at positions 30 to 526 of the family's 1533-position model. The record is from RNAcentral.
AUUGAACGCUGGCGGCAGGCCUAACACAUGCAAGUCGGACGAGUGGCGGACGGGUGAGUAACGCCUGGGAAACUACCUAGUGGUGGGGGAUAACUACUGGAAACGGUAGCUAAUACCGCAUACUAUCAGAUGUGCCCAGGUGUGAUUAGCUGGUUGGCGGGGUAACGGCUCACCAAGGCGACGAUCACUAGCGGGUCUGAGAGGAUGACCAGCCACACUGGAACUGAGACACGGUCCAGACUCCUACGGGAGGCAGCAGUGGGGAAUAUUGCACAAUGGGCGCAAGCCUGAUGCAGCCAUGCCGCGUGUAUGAAGAAGGCCUUCGGGUUGUAAAGGACUUUCGUCGGGGAGGCGGUACCCGAAGAAGAAGCACCGGCUAACUCCGUGCCAGCCGCCGCGGUAAUUC